RNAcentral lists this ribosomal RNA (617 nucleotides) under Variovorax sp. A59. RNAcentral describes it as "bacterial SSU rRNA". It matches the Rfam family "Bacterial small subunit ribosomal RNA", at positions 37 to 649 of the family's 1533-position model. The record is from RNAcentral. Lineage: Bacteria; Pseudomonadati; Pseudomonadota; Betaproteobacteria; Burkholderiales; Comamonadaceae.
UGUCUACGCUGCCUUACCAUGCAAGUCGAACGGCAGCGCGGGAGCAAUCCUGGCGGCGAGUGGCGAACGGGUGAGUAAUACAUCGGAACGUGCCCAAUCGUGGGGGAUAACGCAGCGAAAGCUGUGCUAAUACCGCAUACGAUCUACGGAUGAAAGCAGGGGAUCGCAAGACCUUGCGCGAAUGGAGCGGCCGAUGGCAGAUUAGGUAGUUGGUGAGGUAAAGGCUCACCAAGCCUUCGAUCUGUAGCUGGUCUGAGAGGACGACCAGCCACACUGGGACUGAGACACGGCCCAGACUCCUACGGGAGGCAGCAGUGGGGAAUUUUGGACAAUGGGCGAAAGCCUGAUCCAGCCAUGCCGCGUGCAGGAUGAAGGCCUUCGGGUUGUAAACUGCUUUUGUACGGAACGAAACGGCCUUUUCUAAUAAAGAGGGCUAAUGACGGUACCGUAAGAAUAAGCACCGGCUAACUACGUGCCAGCAGCCGCGGUAAUACGUAGGGUGCAAGCGUUAAUCGGAAUUACUGGGCGUAAAGCGUGCGCAGGCGGUAAUGUAAGACAGUUGUGAAAUCCCCGGGCUCAACCUGGGAACUGCAUCUGUGACUGCAUUGCUGGAGUAC